CCCCAAGGUAAGGAAUAACGUCGAGAAAUCGGCGCUAAUACCUCAUAAUGCAGCGGAUCCGCAUGGAUAUGUUGUUAAAGGUUUACCGCUUGGGAUAGGCUUGCGUCUGAUUAGCUAGUUGGUGUGGUAACGGCACACCAAGGCUACGAUCAGUAACUGGUCUGAGAGGAUGAUCAGUCACACUGGAACUGAGACACGGUCCAGACUCCUACGGGAGGCAGCAGUGAGGAAUAUUGGGCAAUGCUCGAAAGAGUGACCCAGCAACGCCGCGUGGAGGAUGAAGGUAUUCUAUAUCGUAAACUCCUGUGAGAGCAAACGAAAGACAGAUUAUUAAUCUGGAUGACUGUAUGCUCAGAGGAAGCCCCGGCUAACUACGUG
Molecule: ribosomal RNA, 378 nt
Filed under: uncultured bacterium
Lineage: Bacteria
Description: bacterial SSU rRNA
Rfam family: Bacterial small subunit ribosomal RNA
Source: RNAcentral